Cyprinus carpio carpio is the source of this 421-nucleotide long non-coding RNA. NCBI's taxonomy places the organism in Eukaryota, Metazoa, Chordata, Actinopteri, Cypriniformes, Cyprinidae. The record is from Ensembl.
GGAAACUCAACCUGCUUGUCAACCCGUUAGUGUCACUAAAUAGUUAUUGUAAUAAAUGUGCGUGUUAUUGCAGUGGUAAUAUUGACAGUGGUUCACUUCUUUAUUUUUUUAAGGCCUUUUGUCCUUCAAUCCAGCCAAGAUAUAUUAUUCUGAUAUUAGGAGUGAUUUAAAAAAUCUGGUUUUGAUCAGAAAGGCGUGUAAUGACUGAGUCUUUGGGAUCAGAUUGGUGAAAGUAAUGCUAUAAGAAAGGAGCUUGACAAACUUUGGUGGAUCUAGCAGGCUAAGCGAUCCAACAUCAUUCGUCCAUUCAUCAGUCCAUCAAAGCAGGAUGUUAGAGAGGUGCCCUGUGCUUCUUUACCAUAUCUCCAAGAUAUCCCCACUCAGUGAAUCAGCAAUCUUCAAUAAAGUAGAAGGUAAUACU